AGUGAACGCUGGCGGUAGGCCUAACACAUGCAAGUCGAACGGCAGCACAGUAAGAGCUUGCUCUUACGGGUGGCGAGUGGCGGACGGGUGAGGAAUACAUCGGAAUCUACUUUUUCGUGGGGGAUAACGUAGGGAAACUUACGCUAAUACCGCAUACGACCUACGGGUGAAAGCAGGGGAUCUUCGGACCUUGCGCGAUUGAAUGAGCCGAUGUCGGAUUAGCUAGUUGGCGGGGUAAAGGCCCACCAAGGCGACGAUCCGUAGCUGGUCUGAGACGAUGAUCAGCCACACUGGAACUGAGACACGGUCCAGACUCCUACGGGAGGCAGCAGUGGGGAAUAUUGGACAAUGGGCGCAAGCCUGGUCCAGCCAUACCGCGUGGGUGAAGAAGGCCUUCGGGUUGUAAAGCCCUUUUGUUGGGAAAGAAAAGCAGCAGGUUAAUACCCCGCUGUUCUGACGGUACCCAAAGAAUAAGCACCGGCUAACUUCGUG
RNAcentral lists this ribosomal RNA (492 nucleotides) under uncultured bacterium. RNAcentral's name for it is "partial 16S ribosomal RNA". It matches the Rfam family "Bacterial small subunit ribosomal RNA", at positions 29 to 507 of the family's 1533-position model. The record is from RNAcentral.